UUGGACCUUAAUGUAGACCAAUUUGAAAACAGGACCAAAAAUUAGGAAUCUGAAUACACGGUUAGAUUUGGCAUAUCAAAGAACCCAAAUAAUUCAUUUUUUGAUGAAAUCAAAGUUUAAUUUUGGACCCUUUUGGCCCCUAAUUCGUUGGGACCAAAACUCCCAAAAUCAAUCCAAACCUUCCUUUUGUGGUCAUAAACCUUGUGUUAAAAUUUCAUUGAUUUCUAUUCACUUUUACUAAAGUUAGAGUGCGAAAACUAAAAGUAUUCGGACGACGACGACGACGACGACAACGUGAUAGCAAUAUACGACCAAAAAAUUAAAAUUUUUGCGGUCAUAUAAAAA
RNAcentral lists this long non-coding RNA (345 nucleotides) under Mytilus galloprovincialis (Mediterranean mussel). The record is from RNAcentral. Lineage: Eukaryota; Metazoa; Mollusca; Bivalvia; Mytilida; Mytilidae.